ACGACUGCUAAGACUGGAUAGGAAGAUAAAUGGCAUCUUUUAUCUUUUAAAAGACCUAGUAAUAGGUAUGCUUUAGGAGGGGCUUGCGCCAUAUUAGUUAGUUGGUAGGGUAAUGGCCUACCAAGACGAUGAUGUGUAGCUGGACUGAGAGGUUGAACAGCCACAUUGGGACUGAGACACGGCCCAAACUCCUACGGGAGGCAGCAGUAGGGAAUUUUCGGCAAUGGAGGAAACUCUGACCGAGCAACGCCGCGUGUAUGACGGAGUACUUCGGUAUGUAAAGUUCUUUUAUCAAGGAAGAAAAGCAAAUGGCGAACCAUUUGUUUGCCGGUACUUGAUGAAUAAGCCCCGGCUAAUUAUGUGCCAGCAGCCGCGGUAAGACAUAAGGGGCAAGUGUUAUCCGGAAUUAUUGGGCGUAAAGGGUGCGUAGGCGGUCUAGUAAGUCAGUGGUGUAAUGGCAACGCUUAACGUUGUCCGGCUAUUGAAACUGCUAAACUUGAGUUAGAUAGAGGCGAGUGGAAUUCCAUGUGUAGCGGUAAAAUGCGUAAAUAUAUGGAGGAACACCAGAGGCGUAGGCGGCUCGCUGGGUCUUAACUGACGCUGAGGCACGAAAGCGUGGGGAGCAAACAGGAUUAGAUACCCUGGUAGUCCACGCCGUAAACGAUGAGUACUAAGUGUCGGGUUAAACCGGUACUGAAGUUAACACAUUAAGUACUCCGCCUGAGUAGUACGUACGCAAGUAUGAAACUUAAAGGAAUUGACGGGACUCCGCACAAGCGGUGCAUCAUGUUGUUUUAUUCGAAGAUACCCGAAAAACCUUACCAGGUCUUGACAUGUUUUUGCAAAAUGAUAGUAAUAUCGUGGAGGUUACCAGAAACACAGGUGGUGCAUGGUUGUCGUCAGCUCGUGUCGUGAGAUGUUAGGUUAAGUCCUAAAACGAGCGAAACCCUUAUGGUUAGUUGCCAGCACGUUAUGGUGGGGACUUUAACGAGACUGCCAAUGAUAAAUUGGAGGAAGGUGAGGAUCACGUCAAAUCAGCAUGCCCCUUAUGACCUGGGCUACAAACGUGAUACAAUGGCUGUUACAAAGAGUAGCUGAAACGCAAGUUCUUGGCCAAUCCCCAAAAACAGUCCCAGUCCGGAUUGAAGUCUGCAACUCGACUUCAUGAAGUUGGAAUCGCUAGUAAUCGCGAAUCAGCAUGUCGCGGUGAAUACGUUCUCGGGGUUUGUACUCACCGCCCGUCA
Molecule: ribosomal RNA, 1244 nt
Filed under: Ocimum basilicum phytoplasma
Lineage: Bacteria; Bacillati; Mycoplasmatota; Mollicutes; Acholeplasmatales; Acholeplasmataceae
Description: bacterial SSU rRNA
Rfam family: Bacterial small subunit ribosomal RNA
Source: RNAcentral